CAUGUGGACUGAAGUUUUUGACUCCAGUCAUAAAAACCAGUCUCAACCCUUAUCUGAUCUGAAAAAUCAGAAAGAUCUGGAGACAGAGGAAGAAAAUGGUGUAAUUGGUCAUAAUCUCAUUCCAGAUCUCUGAGUGAAGUUGCAGAAAUGUGACAAUUUAUGUGUUGAUUCAAUGGGGCAGCAACAGUGGAGAUGAGAGCGGAUCUGUGUUUAGAGAGCUGGAGCGCAGAAUUCAUCAAUCUUGUGGAUGGACUGCAGCAAGUCCUUUUGCAGUUGUACUCAUCAAAGUGCUAUGCAGACAUAAUGGGAAUGACUGCCACAUUGUAGAGCUUGGACAAAGUUCACACAGGUUCUGAGCAGGGAUUCAUCAAGGACAUGACUGAUGGAAUUAUAGCUGUGGGUGGCCAAAGUGAGCACCAUCAAUCUGCAGUGGUGUGGUCUUGGUAAUAGAAGAAGAAAUCUUGGUGAUCUGGGGUUGUAUCAUGUUGUGGGGUUGUGUACUGCGUUAGACUAUCUGGGACUUGUCACAGCACUUAAAGGCAA
Molecule: long non-coding RNA, 543 nt
Organism: Sinocyclocheilus rhinocerous
Lineage: Eukaryota; Metazoa; Chordata; Actinopteri; Cypriniformes; Cyprinidae
Exons: 4
Source: RefSeq, a predicted model, not a curated record